UACGUAGGUGGCAAGCGUUGUCCGGAUUUACUGGGCGUAAAGAGCGCGCAGGCGGUCGUUCAAGUCGCGUGUGAAAGCCCCCGGCUCAACUGGGGAGGGUCACGCGAUACUGAUCGACUCGAAGGCAGGAGAGGGUAGUGGAAUUCCUGGUGUAGCGGUGAAAUGCGCAGAUAUCAGGAGGAACACCCGUGGCGAAAGCGGCUCUCUGGGACGGUACUGACGCUGAGACGCGAAAGCGUGGGGAGCAAACAGG
RNAcentral lists this ribosomal RNA (253 nucleotides) under uncultured bacterium. RNAcentral's name for it is "partial 16S ribosomal RNA". It matches the Rfam family "Bacterial small subunit ribosomal RNA", at positions 524 to 776 of the family's 1533-position model. The record is from RNAcentral.